GACGAACGCUGGCGGCGUGCUUAACACAUGCAAGUCGAACGGAAAGGCCUGCUUUCCCUUGUGGAUUGCGGGUACUCGAGUGGCGAACGGGUGAGUAACACGUGAGUGAUCUGCCCCCAACUUGGGUAUAAGCCUGGGAAACUGGGUCUAAUUCCCGAUAGGACUGCAGGGUGGUGCCUGUGGUGGAAAACGAUUUUCUAGUGGUUGGGGAUGAGCUCGCGGCCUAUCAGCUUGUUGGUGGGGUAAUGGCCUACCAAGGCGGCGACGGGUAGCCGGCCUGAGAGGGGGGACGGCCACAUUGGGACUGAGAUACGGCCCAGACGCCUACGGGAGGCAGCAGUGGGGAAUAUGACACAAUGGGCGGAAGCCUGAUGCAGCGACGCCGCGUGGGGGAUGACGGCCUUCGGGUUGUAAACUCCUUUCGACCGCGAGGAAGCCACCUGGUUGGAAGGGUGGUGACGGUAGUGGUAGAAGAAGCACCGGCUAACUACGUG
RNAcentral lists this ribosomal RNA (494 nucleotides) under uncultured bacterium. RNAcentral describes it as "partial 16S ribosomal RNA". It matches the Rfam family "Bacterial small subunit ribosomal RNA", at positions 28 to 507 of the family's 1533-position model. The record is from RNAcentral.